Non-coding RNA from Pelobates cultripes (western spadefoot toad), 207 nucleotides. The record is from the annotation of a GenBank genome assembly. Lineage: Eukaryota; Metazoa; Chordata; Amphibia; Anura; Pelobatidae.
GUCUAUUAUUACAAGGGUGGGUAUUUGCCUAUUUAAGGCCAAGGUUUCCCAACUGCUAAUGCAUGUGCUCAGUGGUUAUUGCCAACUGGUGAUGCAUGUGCUCAAUGAAAAAAACAAAACAAAAUUGAAUAAGCAAUAAAGUGUCAUAACUUUACGGGUAAAUGGGUAUCAUUCUUAAAAAGGUGGGUUUGUUGUAGGGCAGGUACU